RNAcentral lists this ribosomal RNA (629 nucleotides) under uncultured organism. RNAcentral's name for it is "bacterial SSU rRNA". It matches the Rfam family "Bacterial small subunit ribosomal RNA", at positions 771 to 1398 of the family's 1533-position model. The record is from RNAcentral.
AACAGGAUUAGAUACCCUGCUAGUCCACACUGUAAUCGAUGGGUACUAGGUGUUGGUUGUAAUGAUCAGCGCCGGAGCAAACGCAUUAAGUACCCCGCAUGGGGAAUACGGUCGCAUAGACUGAAACUCAAAGGAACUUGACGGGGGCCCGUCUACAAACGGUGGAGCAUCUGGUUUAAUUCGAUGCAACGCGAAGAACCUUACCUGGGCUUGAACUGCAGGUGCUAUCUCCUGAAAGGGAGUUUCCUUCGGGACGCCUGUAGAGGUGCUGCAUGGCUGUCGUCAGCUCCUGCUGUGAGUUGUUGGCUUAAGUCCCGCUACGAGCGCAACCCCUGUCCUUAGUUGCCAUCAGGUCAAGCUGGGAACUCUAGGGGCACUGCCCCAGGAUAACGGGGAGGAAGUUGGGGAUGACGUCAAGUCAUCAUGGCCCUUACGUCCAGGGCUACACACGUGCUACAAUGGCACGGUACAACGGCUAGCGAGACAGCGAUGUGGAGCAAAUCCCUUUAAACCGGUCUCAGUUCAGAUUGCAGUCUGCAACCUGAUUGCACGAAGUUGGAAUCGAUAGUAAUUCGGCGGAUCAGCAUGCCUCGCUGCCUACGUUCCCGGGCCUGGACACACCGCCCGUC